UCUUCGUCGUCCCCACGCUCUCUCUCUCUCUCCACCGAUUCUGUAUGUUCUCCGCCUUCUCUCGCUCUCCCUCUCCCCCUUUGUGCCUCCUCUUCUUCAAUACUCUCUGCAAGCGACCUUCUUCUCGCCGUGGAAGAUGCUCGAGGCCUACAGAGCGAGUUCAGUCGACUGGAAGCCGACGCCGGUCGUGGCCCUAGCCACCAGCGCCGACGACUCCCAGGUCGCGGCGGCUCGCGAGGACGGCUCGCUCGAGGUUUGGCUUGUCUCUCCCGGCUCCGUCGGAUGGCACCGUCAGCUCACUAUUCAUGGAGAUUCUAAUUCAAGAGUGUCAUCUCUUGUGUGGUGUCGGACCGGUUCGAGAGGCUCGUCUAGUGGACGGCUGUUUUCAUCCAGUAUUGAUGGUUCGGUCUCUGAGUGGGAUCUAUUUGACUUGAAGCAGAAGACUGUUAUAGAGUCAAUUGGAGUCGCGAUAUGGCAAAUGGCUGUGUCUCCGUAUAAUGUUAAGGAACCCAAGUCACAAAAGAUUGAAAAUGGGUAUGUAGAUGAAAGACUGGAUACUGGCAUAGAUGAUGACGAUGGUGAAGUUGAGGAUGAUUCUGAAUCUGUCGAGCUUCAUGAUCCAUCAUACUUGGAAGAUGUGUGUAUAGCCCUAGGUUGUGAUGAUGGCUGCGUGCGGUUAUAUGCAUUUUCUGAUUUGGAGGAUUUGGUAUACAAGAAAUCUCUGCCUAGGGUCAGCGGGCGAAUUUUAAGUGUCACAUGGAGUCCUACUGCAAACAUCAUAUAUUCAGGAAGUAGUGAUGGAUUCAUAAGAUGCUGGGAUGCUCUUUCAUGUCGUGAGAUCUAUAGGAUUACAGUAGGCCUUGGAGGUUUGGGCAGUGGACCAGAACUUUGUGUGUGGUCAUUGCUUGCACUGAGGUCAGGAACGCUUGUUAGUGCUGAUAGUACUGGCAGUGUUCAGUUCUGGGACAGUCAACAUGGAACGCUUUUACAGGCGUAUUCUUAUCAUAAAGGUGAUGUGAAUGCUCUCGCAGUAUCUCCUAACCAUAACAGAGUGUUUUCUGCAGGAUCUGAUGGUCAGGUUAUCCUUUAUAAAAUUUCCGAUGAGACAGUGCAUGGUGAUGACAAGAUUUCUCAUAACGAGAUGAAGAAAUGGGUCUACAUCGGCUAUGUGAGAGCUCAUACGCAUGAUGUUCGUUCCUUGACGGUUGCAGUACCAGUAAGCCGGGAAGAUUUCCUGCCAGAUGAAAAAGUUAAAAGAGUUCGGCGUAGGAAGAAGCCUGUUGAUUUUAGUUACGGUAAAUGGGCUCAUACGGGAGUUCCCAUGCUGAUCUCAGCUGGCGAUGACACAAAGCUCUUUGCCUACUCUGUUCAGGAAUUCACCAAGUUCUCUCCACAUGAUAUCUGUCCAGCCCCUCAGCGGUUGCCCUUUCAACUGGUGCGCUCGGUAUUUGACCAGACUCCUUUACUUCUUGUUCAGGCUCCUUACUGGUUAGAUAUUCUCUCUGUACGGACCAAGAGUGGUACCUUUGCGAGUAAGGCUUCUGGCCCUUCUGGGGGCUUGGCAGUUACUGAACUACUGGCUCGAGUGAAGAGCAAGGCAUCUCGAAAAAUUAUUUGCAGUGCUCUUUCUUCUUCAGGGGAGCUUUUUGCCUAUUCAGACCAGGUGAAGCCAAAUCUUUUUGAACUGAAGAGGCGUGAGGAUGGGAAAAAUUCGUGGACUGUGACUAAAAAGCAACUUCCUCAGAGAUUAUCGUUUGUUCACUCUAUGGUGUUUAGUGCCGACUCUAAUCGGUUAAUUAUGGCUGGACAUGACAGAAAGAUUUAUGUUGUGGAUGUCAGAAGUUCGGAGUUGCUACAUACCUUUACACCAUCUCGUGAGGAGCCUUCUGACGAAUUAUCUCCUGAUGAGCCACCAAUAACAAAAAUGUUUACCAGCUCUGAUGGGCAGUGGCUAGCUGCUAUUAAUUGUUUUGGAGAUGUGUAUGUUUAUAAUCUUGAAUUACAAAGGCAGCACUGGUUCAUAGCUAGACUGGACGGUGCCUCUGUUACUGCAGGUGGAUUUCCUCCUCUGAAUAGUAAUGUGCUCGUAUUCACCACAUCCUCAAAUCAGGUGUAUGUACUUGAUGUGGAGGCCAAACAAUUAGGAGACUGGUCAAUGAGAAACACAUUCUCUCUGCCCAAAAGAUUCCAGGAGUUUCCUGGAGAGGUCAUUGGGCUUUCUUUUCCCCCCUCCUCGUGUUCAUCAUCAAUCAUUAUUUAUAGUGCCAGGGCAAUGUGCAUUAUUGACUUUGGACUGCCUGUGGAUCGGGAGGAUGACACGGAGUUGAUGAAUGGUCGGGAUUCAACAUUGAGGAAGCUACAUUGUACACCUGUAAAUGGGAAACUGAAGCGUAGUUUAAAAGCUUAUGAAUUAGAUACUAAACAAAAUAGUAGAAAGAAUUUUGAAUUUUUUGCUUUCAGAGAUCCUCUUUUGUUUGUUGGGCAUCUUUCAAAGAAUUCCAUCUUGGUCAUAGACAAACCCUGGAUGGAAGUAGUUAAAAAGUUAGAAGCUGCACCCGUCCAUAGACAUAUUUUCGGGACAUGACUGCUUUUGCCAAGAUGCUUUUUGUUCAGCCUAGGAAGGAGAAUUCAGUCAACAGUUAGUCCCUUAGAGCAGCAACCUUGGACAUUUGCACCUUCUCGAGCAGAUGAGUCCCUUUCAUGUAAUCAGAUCUAUUUCUUAAUCAUGAUUAUGUUUUGAUGGAGGCAAUGGCAUGCUUGUAGUGGUAAGGGAGGGAUUUCAGGUGUUAGUUAAUAAAUCUUUUGUGAAGAAAUGCCAGAGGUAUGUGGUGAGGAAGCGCACAGUGUGUGAUGGAAUAGAUAGGCUAUCUUCUUCGUUGUCCAUCAUGCAUUUGAGAUCGAACAAAUGAACCCCUUGCUGUUGGGAAAGGAAAAUGAUAGAAUUGAACACCCAUGCAGAUUGGAGGGAGCCAGAGGUGUUUCAUUGGGCUCAUGUUUACGGCGGAUCAUCAACAGGUUAAGAGGUAUCUACACUAGCUUCUCUAUCCAACUGAAGAAUUUCUUAUCCUUUGGAAAUUGAACCCUCGUUGUAAUCAUCGAUGGCUGAUGGUAACUGUUAUGCACAUGAGCUUGCUUGAGUAUAUUCAUAUCUGAGCCACAGUACAGUGAGCUGUAUGUAAUGACUGGUCGGUUGCGUCUGGAGUCGAUAACAAUCUCCAACUGAUGACAUGCUAUUGACUGGUUCCUCCUUUGGCUACCUCAUCUAUAGUCAUUGUGUAGUUCUGGCGCCAUCGUAGCAGCCUCUGGCGCU
Molecule: RNA transcript, 3310 nt
Organism: Rhodamnia argentea
Lineage: Eukaryota; Viridiplantae; Streptophyta; Magnoliopsida; Myrtales; Myrtaceae
Gene name: WD repeat-containing protein PCN
Exons: 12
Source: RefSeq, a predicted model, not a curated record